ACGCUGGCGGCGUGCCCUAACACAUGCAAGUCGAACGGGGAUUUUGUUUCGGCAGAAUCCUAGUGGCGAACGGGUGAGUAACGCGUAGGCAACCUGCCCUCCGGCCGGGGACAACACUCCGAAAGGGGUGCUAAUACCGGAUACGAAGUCUGUGCCGCAUGGUACGGAUUUGAAAGAUGGCCUCUGUUUACAAGCUAUCGCCGGGGGAUGGGCCUGCGUCCGAUUAGCUGGUUGGUGGGGUAACGGCCUACCAAGGCGACGAUCGGUAGCCGGUCUGAGAGGAAGGUCCCCCACAUUGGAACUGAGACACGGUCCAAACUCC
Molecule: ribosomal RNA, 322 nt
Filed under: uncultured Succiniclasticum sp.
Lineage: Bacteria; Bacillati; Bacillota; Negativicutes; Acidaminococcales; Acidaminococcaceae
Description: bacterial SSU rRNA
Rfam family: Bacterial small subunit ribosomal RNA
Source: RNAcentral